GACGAACGCUGGCGGCGUGCUUAACACAUGCAAGUCGAACGGUGAAGCUCCAGCUUGCUGGAGUGGAUCAGUGGCGAACGGGUGAGUAACACGUGAGCAACCUGCCCCAGACCCUGGAAUAAGCGCUGGAAACGGCGUCUAAUACUGGAUACGAGAUCAAGCCGCAUGGUUAUGGUCUGGAAAGUUUUUCGGUUUGGGAUGGGCUCGCGGCCUAUCAGCUUGUUGGUGAGGUAAUGGCUCACCAAGGCGACGACGGGUAGCCGGCCUGAGAGGGCGACCGGCCACACUGGGACUGAGACACGGCCCAGACUCCUACGGGAGGCAGCAGUGGGGAAUAUUGCACAAUGGGCGAAAGCCUGAUGCAGCGACGCCGCGUGAGGGAUGACGGCCUUCGGGUUGUAAACCUCUUUCAGCAGGGAAGAAGCGAAAGUGACGGUACCUGCAGAAGAAGCACCGGCUAACUACGUG
RNAcentral lists this ribosomal RNA (468 nucleotides) under uncultured bacterium. RNAcentral describes it as "partial 16S ribosomal RNA". It matches the Rfam family "Bacterial small subunit ribosomal RNA", at positions 28 to 507 of the family's 1533-position model. The record is from RNAcentral.